CAGCCGCCACGGUAAUACAGAGGGUGCGAGCGUUAAUCGGAUUUACUGGGCGUAAAGCGUGCGUAGGCGGCUUCUUAAGUCGGAUGUGAAAUCCCUGAGCUUAACUUAGGAAUUGCAUUCGAUACUGGGAAGCUAGAGUAUGGGAGAGGAUGGUAGAAUUCCAGGUGUAGCGGUGAAAUGCGUAGAGAUCUGGAGGAAUACCGAUGGCGAAGGCAGCCAUCUGGCCUAAUACUGACGCUGAGGUACGAAAGCAUGGGGAGCAAACAGGAUUAGAUACCCCUGUAGUCCCUGUCUCUAUACA
RNAcentral lists this ribosomal RNA (301 nucleotides) under uncultured bacterium. Its description in RNAcentral is "partial 16S ribosomal RNA". It matches the Rfam family "Bacterial small subunit ribosomal RNA", at positions 509 to 808 of the family's 1533-position model. The record is from RNAcentral.